This 301-nucleotide ribosomal RNA is filed under the name uncultured bacterium. RNAcentral's name for it is "partial 16S ribosomal RNA". It matches the Rfam family "Bacterial small subunit ribosomal RNA", at positions 509 to 807 of the family's 1533-position model. The record is from RNAcentral.
CAGCAGCCACGGUAAUACGGAGGGAGCUAGCGUUGUUCGGAAUUACUGGGCGUAAAGCGCACGUAGGCGGUUAUUCAAGUCAGAGGUGAAGGCCCGGGGCUCAACCCCGGAACUGCCUUUGAAACUAGAUGACUGGAAUCUUGGAGAGGUCAGUGGAAUUCCGAGUGUAGAGGUGAAAUUCGUAGAUAUUCGGAAGAACACCAGUGGCGAAGGCGACUGACUGGACAAGUAUUGACGCUGAGGUGCGAAAGCGUGGGGAGCAAACAGGAUUAGAUACCCGCGUAGUCCCUGUCUCUUAUAC